UACGUAGGGCGCAAGCGUUAUCCGGAAUUAUUGGGCGUAAAGAGCUCGUAGGCGGUUUGUCGCGUCUGCCGUGAAAGUCCGGGGCUCAACUCCGGAUCUGCGGUGGGUACGGGCAGACUAGAGUGCAGUAGGGGGAGACUGGAAUUCCUGGUGUAGCGGUGAAAUGCGCAGAUAUCAGGAGGAACACCGGUGGGCGAAGGCGGGGUCUC
Molecule: ribosomal RNA, 209 nt
Filed under: uncultured bacterium
Lineage: Bacteria
Description: partial 16S ribosomal RNA
Rfam family: Bacterial small subunit ribosomal RNA
Source: RNAcentral